GAUGAACGCUGGCGGCGUGCCUAAUACAUGCCAGUCGAGCGAACAGACGAGGAGCUUGCUCCUCUGACGUUAGCGGCGGACGGGUGAGUAACACGUGGAUAACCUACCUAUAAGACUGGGAUAACUUCGGGAAACCGGAGCUAAUACCGGAUAAUAUAUUGAACCGCAUGGUUCAAUAGUGAAAGACGGUUUUGCUGUCACUUAUAGAUGGAUCCGCGCCGCAUUAGCUAGUUGGUAAGGUAACGGCUUACCAAGGCAACGAUGCGUAGCCGACCUGAGAGGGUGAUCGGCCACACUGGAACUGAACCACGGUCCAGACUCCUACGGAAGGCAGCAGUAGGGAAUCUUCCGCAAUGGGCGAAAGCCUGACGGAGCAACGCCGCGUGAGUGAUGAAGGUCUUCGGAUCGUAAAACUCUGUUAUUAGGGAAGAACAAAUGUGUAAGUAACUAUGCACGUCUUGACGGUACCUAAUCAGAAAGCCACGGCUAACUACGUG
RNAcentral lists this ribosomal RNA (497 nucleotides) under uncultured bacterium. RNAcentral's name for it is "partial 16S ribosomal RNA". It matches the Rfam family "Bacterial small subunit ribosomal RNA", at positions 28 to 507 of the family's 1533-position model. The record is from RNAcentral.